ACGAGCUAGCAGCUUUCGGCCAGCUCUGAGAGUGACUUUGGGUUUUCCAGGUCGGCGGAUCCGGUGAAGUCUGGUGGAGACAAAGGAACUUGCUUAUUCAGUGCAACAAAUGCCUUAGAACUUAGAUAGUUUCCAAGGAAGUGUUGAAUGUGCAUUUCACCAUCAUCUUCACAUCCACCUUGGGCAGAGGACCUGAGAUUUGAGGGUAGAGCAGAAGUCAGUGAAGAAGAUAUGACUUAAAAACAUCCCGCCC
This is a long non-coding RNA of Talpa occidentalis (Iberian mole), 253 nucleotides long. RefSeq lists it as uncharacterized. The transcript has 3 exons. The record is from RefSeq and is a predicted model, not a curated record. Lineage: Eukaryota; Metazoa; Chordata; Mammalia; Eulipotyphla; Talpidae.